Molecule: ribosomal RNA, 250 nt
Filed under: uncultured prokaryote
Description: partial 16S ribosomal RNA
Rfam family: Bacterial small subunit ribosomal RNA
Source: RNAcentral
UACGUAGGUGGCGAGCGUUAUCCGGAUUUACUGGGUGUAAAGGGCGUGUAGGCGGGCGAGCAAGUCAGAUGUGAAAUUCCAGGGCUCAACCCUGGAACUGCAUUUGAAACUGUUGGUCUUGAGUGUUGGAGAGGCAGGCGGAAUUCCGUGUGUAGCGGUGAAAUGCGUAGAUAUACGGAGGAACACCAGUGGCGAAGGCGGCCUGCUGGACAAUAACUGACGCUGAGGCGCGAAAGCGUGGGGAGCAAAC